GCUGGGUGUGGUGGCUCACGCCUGUAAUCCCAGCACUUUGGGAGGCUGAGGUGGGCGGAUCACCUGAGGUCAGGAGUUUGAGACCAGCCUGACCAACAUGGAGAAACCCCAUCUCUA
This 117-nucleotide small RNA is filed under the name Pongo abelii (Sumatran orangutan). RNAcentral describes it as "Metazoan signal recognition particle RNA (ENSPPYG00000040868.1)". RNAcentral also lists the same sequence under 1 other name. Lineage: Eukaryota; Metazoa; Chordata; Mammalia; Primates; Hominidae. The record is from Rfam by way of RNAcentral.